CCUACGGGAGGCAGCAGUGGGGAAUUUUGGACAAUGGGCGAAAGCCUGAUCCAGCAAUGCCGCGUGAGUGAAGAAGGCCUUCGGGUUGUAAAGCUCUUUUGUCAGGGAAGAAACGGUGAAAGCUAAUAUCUUUUGCUAAUGACGGUACCUGAAGAAUAAGCACCGGCUAACUACGUGCCAGCAGCCGCGGUAAUACGUAGGGUGCAAGCGUUAAUCGGAAUUACUGGGCGUAAAGCGUGCGCAGGCGGUUUUGUAAGUCUGAUGUGAAAUCCCCGGGCUCAACCUGGGAAUUGCAUUGGAGACUGCAAGGCUAGAAUCUGGCAGAGGGGGGUAGAAUUCCACGUGUAGCAGUGAAAUGCGUAGAUAUGUGGAGGAACACCGAUGGCGAAGGCAGCCCCCUGGGUCAAGAUUGACGCUCAUGCACGAAAGCGUGGGGAGCAAACAGGAUUAGAUACCCUGGUAGUCCACGCCCUAAACGAUGUCUACUAGUUGUCGGGUCUUAAUUGACUUGGUAACGCAGCUAACGCGUGAAGUAGACCGCCUGGGGAGUACGGUCGCAAGAUUAAAAACNCAAAAGAUUAAGUACGGACGUGAGACGUAGCGAACGAGACCACGAGGGAGGGUUAGGAGG
Molecule: ribosomal RNA, 631 nt
Filed under: uncultured bacterium
Lineage: Bacteria
Description: bacterial SSU rRNA
Rfam family: Bacterial small subunit ribosomal RNA
Source: RNAcentral